GAAGAAGAAGAAGAGGAGAUUGCUGGUUGAAGUGGGUUUAAAAUCUUUUUCAGUUUGUCUGAAGUUUUUAUUGUGUUGGCUCUGGAAAUGAGUGAUUCUAUUUCUGUUGUUGAAGUGUAAAACCAGAUUGACAUGUUGAUAUGUAUUAUUGUGGGUCCUUGUAUCAGAAAUGGGUACUGUUGUUUUAAAUUUAAAAUUAUGGAUGGAUGUUU
Molecule: unclassified non-coding RNA, 212 nt
Filed under: Hevea brasiliensis (rubber tree)
Lineage: Eukaryota; Viridiplantae; Streptophyta; Magnoliopsida; Malpighiales; Euphorbiaceae
Source: RNAcentral